This 487-nucleotide ribosomal RNA is filed under the name Babesia canis rossi. Its description in RNAcentral is "SSU rRNA". It matches the Rfam family "Eukaryotic small subunit ribosomal RNA", at positions 554 to 1093 of the family's 1831-position model. The record is from RNAcentral. Lineage: Eukaryota; Apicomplexa; Aconoidasida; Piroplasmida; Babesiidae.
GGCAGUCUGGUGCCAGCAGCCGCGGUAAUUCCAGCUCCAAUAGCGUAUAUUAAACUUGUUGCAGUUAAAAAGCUCGUAGUUGUAUUUUUGCUUGGCGGUUUGUUGCCUUUGUGGCUUGAUUCCGCUUGGCUUUUGGCAUUUUGCCUUAUUACUUUGAGAAAAUUAGAGUGUUUCAAGCAGACUUUUGUCUUGAAUACUGUAGCAUGGAAUAAUAGAGUAGGACUUUGGUUCUAUUUUGUUGGUUUGGGAACCUUGGUAAUGGUUAAUAGGAACGGUUGGGGGCAUUCGUAUUUAACUGUCAGAGGUGAAAUUCUUAGAUUUGUUAAAGACGAACUACUGCGAAAGCAUUUGCCAAGGACGUUUCCAUUAAUCAAGAACGAAAGUUAGGGGAUCGAAGACGAUCAGAUACCGUCGUAGUCCUAACCAUAAACUAUGCCGACUAGUGAUUGGAGGUCGUCGUUUGUUUGACCCCUUCAGGAGCUUGAGA